RNAcentral lists this RNase P RNA (421 nucleotides) under pig gut metagenome. Its description in RNAcentral is "Bacterial RNase P class A". It matches the Rfam family "Bacterial RNase P class A". Rfam says of the family: Ribonuclease P (RNase P) is a ubiquitous endoribonuclease, found in archaea, bacteria and eukarya as well as chloroplasts and mitochondria. Its best characterised activity is the generation of mature 5'-ends of tRNAs by cleaving the 5'-leader elements of precursor-tRNAs. Cellular RNase Ps are ribonucleoproteins. The record is from RNAcentral.
UCGUCGCUGGCGGGUGCUUCGGCACGCCGCUUGAGGAAAGUCCGGGCAACACAGAGCGCCUUACUUUUUAACGAAAAGCUGUGGGCGACCGCAGAGACAACGUGACAGAAAACAACCGCCGGCUCCUCCCCUCUACGGAGCAGAGAAGCCGGUAAGGGUGAAAAGGUGGGGUAAGAGCCCACCGGGUACCGGUGCGACCCGGUAUGCCGCACGUCUUAGGGGUUGCAAGGUCAAGUAAACCGGCAUUUAAGGGUUGCUCGCCCGUUGCCGGAGGGUAGACUGCUACUGGAGCGCGCGCUGCGCCUCCGAUUAGCCGUUGUGGCAACACACGGCACAGAUAAAUGACGAACCGGCCCGCCAGGUCGGAGCCUUCGGGCGCCGAAACCCUCGAGCCGACAUAACCCGGCUUAUAGCCGGACUG